UACGUAGGGGGCGAGCGUUGUCCGGAUUUAUUGGGCGUAAAACGCUUGUAGGUGGCUACGUCAAGUCGGAUGUGAAAUCUCCAGGCUCAACCUGGAGGGGUCAUUCGAUACUGCCAUGACUAGAGGUCGGUAGGGGAGUGUGGAAUUCCUGGUGGAGCGGUGAAAUGCGCAGAUAUCAGGAGGAACACCCGUAGCGAAGGCGGCAUUCUGGGCCGAUUCUGACACUGAGGAGCGAAAGCGUGGGGAGCGAACAGG
Molecule: ribosomal RNA, 255 nt
Filed under: uncultured bacterium
Lineage: Bacteria
Description: partial 16S ribosomal RNA
Rfam family: Bacterial small subunit ribosomal RNA
Source: RNAcentral